RNAcentral lists this long non-coding RNA (1017 nucleotides) under Lepidothrix coronata (blue-crowned manakin). Its description in RNAcentral is "lncRNA (ENSLCOG00000002695.1)". Lineage: Eukaryota; Metazoa; Chordata; Aves; Passeriformes; Pipridae. The record is from RNAcentral.
CUAGGACUCCUGGGAGCAGGGAGAGAAACCACUUUGCUGUUAGGGAACCAGCAUGUCUGCCCUUUCCAGGCAAAGAGAAGUGCCAAAAGCUGCUUUGGGCCUUCCCAGACUUUGAGGGCAUUUCCAUUCCAGCCUUGUGACACCAGUGCAGUGUCUGGUCUGCACGAGGUCCUUUGGCUCCUGGGUGGUUGGGCAGGCAAGACUCAAGUGUUCUAUGCAAACAGCUUGUGUUACACCCCCUGAUUCUGCAAGUUGUUCAUGCUGUGCAUGGCCAUGGUACACAAAGCUGUCCUCAGGCUGUAUUUCAGUCUCAAAUUACUGCUCAGGAUAAAACUGUAAUAGACCUACACCUCAGAGUUAAAUCAGCAUUCCGAAGUCUUACAUACAUCUUCUGGGACAUAACCUAAAAUUGUUGUUCCUGCCCACUGUGAUGAAUGAGCAGGAUGAGGGAUGCAGCCCUAGAGCCCACAGAAUGGUGUGCCUGUGCUGAGUCAUUUCUUGGUGGGUAAGAGCUGUAAGCCCAGCCCAGGGUUUCCCAGGUGGCUCCCCCAUCCCUGGAGGUGUCCAAGGCCAGGUUCUUUGGGGCCCUCAACAACCUGGUCUAGUGGAAGGUGUCCCUGCCCCUGGCAAGGGAUGGAACAAGAUGGUCUGUAAGGUCCCUUCCAACCCAAACCAUCAUUAUCAUCAUGAUAAAGAUGAUGUUAGUGUCACUUCUUAGUUUUUUCAUCAACUGAGAUUUCUCCUUCUCAUCCUUCUCUACAAGGCAGGGUAAUUUUCUGGUUGUUUCAUUUGUAUCAACAGUUUUUGUUUAAUAUCCCUCCACAGUUGAAAAGCUGGGCUAAGAUUAGAGGCUUGGGUUUUAGGACUGAAACACAUCCAGCUGAAUGUGCAGCCAGAGAAAGUGGGACAAAAGUGUGGAAGGUUUUGUAUUCUGUGUGGUGUGUUCUGUGCUUUCAGGUCAGACAUCUGAGCCUCCAGGGUCUAUAUAAUACUCUACAGGUGACUUGUUCCAGGUAA